Molecule: long non-coding RNA, 352 nt
Organism: Papilio polytes (common Mormon)
Lineage: Eukaryota; Metazoa; Arthropoda; Insecta; Lepidoptera; Papilionidae
Exons: 3
Source: RefSeq, a predicted model, not a curated record
UUCAUCUAUGCGGCUCGCGCGGGCGUGUUCGGUCAACUAGCAGUUCACAUUUCCGAAUCAUACGCGCGUUUGUCGUUGAGAUUUUAUUGUUGUCAUCUUCCUUUCUUUCAUUUUGUGCUGUCGAUGGUGUGGGAAAUUUGAAAACUGUACGAAGCUUUUUAAAAUGGUUUUGACAACUUAUGGAUUUUGCUGUAUGUUUAACGGCCGUUAUUUGAAGAGGGAUUUGAUGGAGUUACAAUGUGUGGCAGCGCCAUCGAACGACAGAAUUAACAAAAAUCUCGAUUUUACCGGCGGACUAAUGUUAGUAGUAAACCAAAGCCAAGCCACACCUUUCGAUGUUGAUAUCUCUUAC